AGGAAGAACGUAGAAGAGGAAAUAAGAGAGGGGAAGGUCUAAGAAGCAUAGAACAAAAAUCAAGAAAAAGAACAAAGAUUUCAACUUGAACUAAGAUACUCAGGUUGUGUAUGUUUGUCGGUGUUCGAGUUGUUGGUGAAGCUCCGCUCUGAUUUUGACACGGGGAAGGAUUAAUAGAGUCUUUAUUUAAUUUAAUUAAAGAUGUAUUGUAUUAAAAAAAGAAUUCUGUAUAAGCGACGUUUAAUAUUUUAUUACAUUAGUAAUGUCUUUGAAGUA
Trifolium pratense (red clover) is the source of this 276-nucleotide long non-coding RNA. RefSeq lists it as uncharacterized. Lineage: Eukaryota; Viridiplantae; Streptophyta; Magnoliopsida; Fabales; Fabaceae. The transcript is spliced from 2 exons. The record is from RefSeq and is a predicted model, not a curated record.